Molecule: ribosomal RNA, 504 nt
Filed under: uncultured bacterium
Lineage: Bacteria
Description: partial 16S ribosomal RNA
Rfam family: Bacterial small subunit ribosomal RNA
Source: RNAcentral
GAUGAACGCUAGCGGCAGGCCUAAUACAUGCAAGUCGAACGGGAUCUGAGGGUAGCUUGCUACCCGAUUUGAGAGUGGCGCACGGGUGCGUAACGCGUGAGCAACCUACCCAUAUCAGGGGGAUAGCCCGAAGAAAUUCGGAUUAACACCGCAUAAUAAUACGCUAACACAUGUUGAUGUAUUUAAAUAUUUAUAGGAUAUGGAUGGGCUCGCGUGACAUUAGCUAGUUGGUAAGGUACCGGCUUACCAAGGCGACGAUGUCUAGGGGCUCUGAGAGGAGAAUCCCCCAAACUGGUACUGAGACACGGACCAGACUCCUACGGGAGGCAGCAGUAAGGAAUAUUGGUCAAUGGGCGCAAGCCUGAACCAGCCAUGCCGCGUGCAGGAUGACUGCCCUAUGGGUUGUAAACUGCUUUUGUUAGGGAAUAAACCUUCUUACGUGUAAGGAGCUGAAUGUACCUAAAGAAUAAGGAUCGGCUAACUCCGUGCCAGCCGCCGCCGUAA